Medicago truncatula (barrel medic) is the source of this 836-nucleotide long non-coding RNA. RefSeq lists it as uncharacterized. The transcript is spliced from 2 exons. NCBI's taxonomy places the organism in Eukaryota, Viridiplantae, Streptophyta, Magnoliopsida, Fabales, Fabaceae. The record is from RefSeq and is a predicted model, not a curated record.
ACUAGUAGUAAAAUUAUGAAUAUUAGAAUUUAUGAAUUUAUUAAACUUGAAGAACCUCGAGAGAUUCCAAGGAUUUCAACACAAUAAGCAUCAAAAGUAAUACUACAAUUUCACUAAAAGUUAAAUUUCAAAACUCUUGUUAAUCUAACCAAGAUUUGGUUAUUGUAGACACUCUACAUUGGAUGUCUAAGAGAUCCCCAAAUAUACUUUUCAUUAUUCCCAAAAUACAAUGAAAGGUUAUAAAAUAAUGAAAACUUAUUAACAAAAAUAAUGAAUUUUAAUAAUUGUUAAAUUGUUUAUAAUAUGAUCUCUUGAGUAAAGGGACAAACACAACAUAUUGAUGUACUUCAAAAAAUAUUUAGUGACGAUUCUAAUUUUAGAAUUGUCUAUUUAGAACUUCAAAAGCUCUAAAAUCUAUUUGAUUGAUGUAUAUAAAGGAUUACCAUUACUAUUAGAAAUCGGUAAAAUUAUUUGUUACAUACAAAGGAAGGUGGAGGAAUAUGACUAAAAUUGAAAAAGAUGUAAUGUAGACUCUGAUUGUCCAAAAAAUAUCUGGUAUUGCGAAACUGGUCGAAUAAAUAGGUGUAUAAGGCACCAAUGUAGAUGUGUUAAAUUAAUCAGCCCAGUGGAUUUUGUGUCCACCUGAGUCUGCAUUUAGUGUUAGACCAAAGAGAGUACACUCUUUGUGCAGAAAUAUUUUCUAAAUUAUCGUUUUAUUAUAGUGUUGACACCCAAUAAUUUUUUUUUCUCUUUCAAUUUCAAGAAUAUUGUAGUUAUGUCUUUUUAAUUUAAUAUGAUGGUAAUUAAAUGAAAUAAGGCACAAAUAAUAUUACUUA